GCCCGGGUAGCUCAGUUGGUAGAGCGCGUCUCUUGUAAAGACGGGGUCGCCGGUUCGAGUCCGGCCCCGGGCU
Molecule: transfer RNA, 73 nt
Filed under: Thermoleophilaceae bacterium
Lineage: Bacteria; Bacillati; Actinomycetota; Thermoleophilia; Thermoleophilales; Thermoleophilaceae
Description: tRNA-Thr
Rfam family: tRNA
About the family: Transfer RNA (tRNA) molecules are approximately 80 nucleotides in length.
Source: RNAcentral